RNAcentral lists this ribosomal RNA (266 nucleotides) under Priceomyces melissophilus. RNAcentral's name for it is "25S ribosomal RNA". It matches the Rfam family "Eukaryotic large subunit ribosomal RNA", at positions 346 to 631 of the family's 3401-position model. The record is from RNAcentral. Lineage: Eukaryota; Fungi; Ascomycota; Pichiomycetes; Serinales; Debaryomycetaceae.
NAGUACNGUGAUGGAAAGAUGAAAAGAACUUUGAAAAGAGAGUGAAAAAGUNCGUGAAAUUGUUGAAAGNGAAGGAUAUGAGAUCAGACUUNGUAUUUUGCAACCUUNCCNUCNUNGUNGGGCCCCUGCAGUUUNCUGGGCCAGCAUCAAUUUGGAUGAUGGGAUAAUGACUCAGGAAUGUAGCUUUACUUCGGUGAAGUGUUAUAGCCUNUGUUGAUACCGUCUAUCUAGAUUGAGGACUGCGUCUUUUGACAAGGAUGUUGGCA